This 166-nucleotide unclassified non-coding RNA is filed under the name uncultured Tetracladium. RNAcentral describes it as "sequence contains ITS1". The record is from RNAcentral. Lineage: Eukaryota; Fungi; Ascomycota.
CCGAAGUACAGGCCCUCUCGAGGGCUACACUUCCACCCUUUGUGAACUACACUUUGUUGCUUUGGCGAGACGCCCUCGGCCACCGGCUCCGGCUGGUGAGUGCUCGCCAGAGAAAACCCAAACCCCAACCAUUCAGUGUCGUCUGAGAACUAAGUUUAAUUAUUUA